GAAGUAGGGUGGGAGCGUUGUCCGGAAUUAUUGGGCGUAAAGAGCUUGUAGGCGGUUUGUCGCGUCUGCUGUGAAAAUCCGGGGCUCAACCCCGGACUUGCAGUGGGUACGGGCAGACUAGAGUGUGGUAGGGGAGACUGGAAUUCCUGGUGUAGCGGUGGAAUGCGCAGAUAUCAGGAGGAACACCGAUGGCGAAGGCAGGUCUCUGGGCCACUACUGACGCUGAGAAGCGAAAGCAUGGGGAGCGAACAGG
This 253-nucleotide ribosomal RNA is filed under the name uncultured bacterium. RNAcentral describes it as "partial 16S ribosomal RNA". It matches the Rfam family "Bacterial small subunit ribosomal RNA", at positions 524 to 776 of the family's 1533-position model. The record is from RNAcentral.